Molecule: long non-coding RNA, 1399 nt
Organism: Myotis myotis
Lineage: Eukaryota; Metazoa; Chordata; Mammalia; Chiroptera; Vespertilionidae
Exons: 4
Source: RefSeq, a predicted model, not a curated record
UGGCAGGGCUCAAGGAGUGUGACCUGGGCCCCGAGGGAUUGUGCCUGCCCAGUGCCCCUACAGGCGGGCACAGGAUGGCUUGCCCUUGCGAGCUGAAGCCUGCUCAGCUCCCGGUGACUCCAGGCAGGCUCAACUACCUCCCCCCUCUCCUCCGCGGGCCCACAAGCCACCUCCCCCUGGAAUUUCCACCCUGCUCCUGGCUUGCCCAGGAAAAGGAAACAGGGAACAGGAGACACCCCUGGGAGUGGAGAGACCUAUCCCUGUGGCUACCUGUCAGAAUUCUGCACAUCCUACAAGGCCCAGCUGAAAUGCCACCUCAUCCAGAAGGCUUCUCAGGCCUUGGACUCCAAAAGCCUCUCACCUCUGCAGCUCAGAGUACCCACCCAUGAAGAUGCUCUCACCAGCUGCAAUUCACCAGGAUGGUGGGGGCCCCGGCAGCCGGAGUCCCCAGCGCUGAACACCUGGCAGCUUGAACUGGUAUCUUUCGCCUCCAUGGUGACCCAUCUGAUGACAAUAAAUGGGAAGGACCUUCUGGAGACAACAACUUGCCGGAGGAAAGGUACUGACAGUGGGACUUCAGCUCUGUGCUGGGCCAUAAGGAGCUUCUGUUGGGUCAGGUGGUCCCACCCUGUCCCCCCAGGCACCCAGUCAGUCCAGACCAGCAAGGCAGGGAAGAGGUGUAAUCCUGUUUCUCCCUGCACCAAGCCAGCAGGAGCAACCGGGCCCCAGGGUGCCUCAGUCCCAGGGACCUGCAAACACUCGCGGGAGGGAGAGGCAAGAGGCAGGCAGCAGCCCCAUAAAUCCACCUGAGUGAGCAGUGCUUUUAAAAGCCCUUUCACUACAGGAUACAAAACGCACUGUUUUGGGAGAGGAUUUUAUAGGCUAUUUCUGCUCUUGGGUGAUUUACAAUCUGCAGGUCAGGCUCACCUGGGAGUCCUGCCCUGAGGGAUCAUGGGAGCCCAUGGGUGGAGUAAAGGUCAAUUUCAAGGCCAGGGUUGGUGCCCUUGCUGGGCUUUGCCACCGGGUGGUGGUCUGGGUGACUUGUCCUGACCUCUCCUCCCAAGACAAAAGGUGUGGGGCUCUCAGAAGCAAGGAGAUGGAUGCCCGCCUCGCGUCUCCUCACCCUGCACUCGCUUAUUCAUCCACUGCCUCUCACACACCUUCACCCCACAAGCUCCUCCAUGUGCCCAGCCCCAGUGCCUGGAGUUCAGAUACAUCAGAAACAGUAGUUGCCCUUGAGAAAGUCCCCAGGUCUGGCGAUAGUUAAGUCUCAGCAUCCGUGUUCUGGAGCCUAAGGGAGGGGAUGCCUGCUGGGGUCCAGGGGGAGCACGGAGCAGAGAAGGAGCUCUCGAGGCAGAGGAAUGGGGAGGAACUGUGGCAGCAGAGCCAGCUGUGCAAG